CUACGGGUGGCUGCAGCAGGGAAUAUUGCACAAUGGACGGAAGUCUGAUGCAGCGACGCCGCGUGGAUGAUGAAGGCCUUCGGGGUGUAAAAUCCUUUUCAGGGAGAAGAGGAAGGACGGUAUCCCUGGAAUAAGCGUCGGCUAACUACGUGCCAGCAGCCGCGGUAAUACGUAGGACGCAAGCGUUAUCCGGAUUUACUGGGCGUAAAGCGUCUGUAGGCGGUUUAGUAAGUUUGAUGUGAAAGCUCCAGGCUCAACUUGGAGAGUGCAUUGAAUACUGCUAGACUUGAGUGGAUCAGAGGAAAGCGGAAUUUCCGGUGUAGCGGUAAAAUGCGCAGAUAUCGGAAAGAACACCAGUGGCGAAGGCGGCUUUCUGGGAUCAACCUGACGCUGAGAGACGAAAGCUAGGGUAGCGAACAGGAUUAGAUACCCCAGUAGUC
This 440-nucleotide ribosomal RNA is filed under the name uncultured bacterium. RNAcentral describes it as "partial 16S ribosomal RNA". It matches the Rfam family "Bacterial small subunit ribosomal RNA", at positions 339 to 795 of the family's 1533-position model. The record is from RNAcentral.